RNAcentral lists this ribosomal RNA (405 nucleotides) under uncultured bacterium. RNAcentral describes it as "bacterial SSU rRNA". It matches the Rfam family "Bacterial small subunit ribosomal RNA", at positions 356 to 773 of the family's 1533-position model. The record is from RNAcentral.
GGGGAAUAUUGCACAAUGGGCGGAAGCCUGAUGCAGCGACGCCGCGUGAGGGAUGACGGCCUUCGGGUUGUAAACCUCUUUCAGCAGGGACGAAGCGAGAGUGACGGUACCUGCAGAAGAAGCGCCGGCCAACUACGUGCCAGCAGCCGCGGUAAGACGUAGGGCGCGAGCGUUGUCCGGAUUUAUUGGGCGUAAAGAGCUCGUAGGCGGCUCAUUGCGUCGUCGGUGAAAACCCGUGGCUUAACUGCGGGCUUGCCGACGAUACGGGUGGGCUGGAGUUCGGUAGGGGAGACUGGAAUUCCUGGUGUAGCGGUGAAAUGCGCAGAUAUCAGGAGGAACACCGGUGGCGAAGGCGGGUCUCUGGGCCGAUACUGACGCUGAGGAGCGAAAGCGUGGGGAGCGAAC